Molecule: ribosomal RNA, 492 nt
Filed under: uncultured bacterium
Lineage: Bacteria
Description: partial 16S ribosomal RNA
Rfam family: Bacterial small subunit ribosomal RNA
Source: RNAcentral
AGUGAACGCUGGCGGUAGGCCUAACACAUGCAAGUCGAACGGCAGCACAGUAAGAGCUUGCUCUUACGGGUGGCGAGUGGCGGACGGGUGAGGAAUACAUCGGAAUCUACUUUUUCGUGGGGGAUAACGUAGGGAAACUUACGCUAAUACCGCAUACGACCUACGGGUGAAAGCAGGGGAUCUUCGGACCUUGCGCGAUUGAAUGAGCCGAUGUCGGAUUAGCUAGUUGGCGGGGUAAAGGCCCACCAAGGCGUCGAUCCGUAGCUGGUCUGAGAGGAUGAUCAGCCACCGUGGAACUGAGACACGGUCCAGACUCCUACGGGAGGCAGCAGUGGGGAAUAUUGGACAAUGGGCGCAAGCCUGAUCCAGCCAUACCGCGUGGGUGAAGAAGGCCUUCGGGUUGUAAAGCCCUUUUGUUGGGAAAGAAAAGCAGCAGGUUAAUACCCCGCUGUUCUGACGGUACCCAAAGAAUAAGCACCGGCUAACUUCGUG